Molecule: ribosomal RNA, 216 nt
Filed under: Cornu insolidum
Lineage: Eukaryota; Metazoa; Mollusca; Gastropoda; Stylommatophora; Helicidae
Description: Erctella insolida partial 16S ribosomal RNA
Source: RNAcentral
GCCAAUUGGGGUCUGGUAUGACGAAAUUUGGGCAGCAACUGUCUUAAUAUAUUUUUUAUAAUUUAAUAUGCAAGUGAAAAUACUUGCUUUAAUAUAAAAGACGAGAAGACCCUAGAAACUUACAUUAUUUUUGUUGGGGCGACAGGAUUACAGUUAACUAAUCUUAUAUAACAUGACGUUAACAGUUAGAAAAAGUUACUCUAGGGAUAACAGCAA